RNAcentral lists this ribosomal RNA (389 nucleotides) under uncultured Nitrosospira sp. RNAcentral's name for it is "bacterial SSU rRNA". It matches the Rfam family "Bacterial small subunit ribosomal RNA", at positions 200 to 570 of the family's 1533-position model. The record is from RNAcentral. Lineage: Bacteria; Pseudomonadati; Pseudomonadota; Betaproteobacteria; Nitrosomonadales; Nitrosomonadaceae.
AGAAAAGCAGGGGAUCGCAAGACCUUGUGCUUUUGGAGCGGCCGAUGCCUGAUUAGCUAGUUGGUGAGGUAAAGGCUCACCAAGGCGUCGAUCAGUAGCUGGUCUGAGAGGACGACCAGCCACACUGGGACUGAGACACGGCCCAGACUCCUACGGGAGGCAGCAGUGGGGAAUUUUGGACAAUGGGGGAAACCCUGAUCCAGCCAUGCCGCGUGAGUGAAGAAGGCCUUCGGGUUGUAAAGCUCUUUCAGCCGGAACGAAACGGUCACGGCCGAUAACCGUGACAACUGACGGUACCGGAAGAAGAAGCACCGGCUAACUACGUGCCAGCAGCCGCGGUAAUACGUAGGGUGCAAGCGUUAAUCGGAAUUACUGGGCGUAAAGCGAGC